Molecule: non-coding RNA, 21 nt
Filed under: Arabidopsis thaliana (thale cress)
Lineage: Eukaryota; Viridiplantae; Streptophyta; Magnoliopsida; Brassicales; Brassicaceae
Source: RNAcentral
UCGAAUUUGGUGUAAAAUUGC